CCUAACACAUGCAAGUCGAACGGUAACAGGAAGAAGCUUGCUUCUUUGCUGACGAGUGGCGGACGGGUGAGUAAUGUCUGGGAAACUGCCUGAUGGAGGGGGAUAACUACUGGAAACGGUAGCUAAUACCGCAUAACGUCGCAAGACCAAAGAGGGGGACCUUCGGGCCUCUUGCCAUCGGAUGUGCCCAGAUGGGAUUAGCUAGUAGGUGGGGUAACGGCUCACCUAGGCGACGAUCCCUAGCUGGUCUGAGAGGAUGACCAGCCACACUGGAACUGAGACACGGUCCAGACUCCUACGGGAGGCAGCAGUGGGGAAUAUUGCACAAUGGGCGCAAGCCUGAUGCAGCCAUGCCGCGUGUAUGAAGAAGGCCUUCGGGUUGUAAAGUACUUUCAGCGGGGAGGAAGGGAGUAAAGUUAAUACCUUUGCUCAUUGACGUUACCCGCAGAAGAAGCACCGGCUAACUCCGUGCCAGCAGCCGCGGUAAUACGGAGGGUGCAAGCGUUAAUCGGAAUUACUGGGCGUAAAGCGCACGCAGGCGGUUUGUUAAGUCAGAUGUGAAAUCCCCGGGCUCAACCUGGGAACUGCAUCUGAUACUGGCAAGCUUGAGUCUCGUAGAGGGGGGUAGAAUUCCAGGUGUAGCGGUGAAAUGCGUAGAGAUCUGGAGGAAUACCGGUGGCGAAGGCGGCCCCCUGGACGAAGACUGACGCUCAGGUGCGAAAGCGUGGGGAGCAAACAGGAUUAGAUACCCUG
This 753-nucleotide ribosomal RNA is filed under the name uncultured bacterium. RNAcentral's name for it is "bacterial SSU rRNA". It matches the Rfam family "Bacterial small subunit ribosomal RNA", at positions 47 to 789 of the family's 1533-position model. The record is from RNAcentral.